GCAGUGUCUUCUUCCUGGUCACCCGCGGAGUCUCUCUGUUCCUGUCGUUUCCUCUAACUUCCCUUUCCCUGACGUGACACUUCGAGGGUUAUUGGUUCCUCUCCCACGUCCUCAGGGUCACCCUCUGAGGAAGCUGGGGGAACAUGUCAUGCUCUCCCGAGAACUCACCACUCCGACGGGAGCGCCGAGGGUUUGCAGGCUCUGCAAGCUGCUGGUAAGGCAGAAAGAAGGCAGCCAGUCCUUUGUGCAGACACCUCUGAUCCCUACUCGUGGCUUUCCUGGAGCACCACCUCGUUGGGCUUAAGCAGGAAGGAAGUAUCCGUCUCCUCCCUAACAAGGCCAACAGCUCUAGACUUGAGUGAAGAGGCGAGGCCUGGAGCAUAGUGGUAUGAGGGGAUACCAGCCUCAUAAAAUAAACUUAAGAGAUUUCCGUCUUCCUCAGUCACUGGAACAGUUUGGAUGAGCAGUAAACAGACUUCCUUCAGGAUCUGACAGGCUGAGUCUUUAAAACUGUCUGAUCGGACCAUUCCAGACGCACCAGAGCCGAGGCUCCCACUUCUGAUGAUGGCCACCUUGCUCCUUCUACUGCACGUCCCAGCUCAGCCUUUUCGAGCUCUCCUGUCCAAAAUGGAAGCAUAUCCUAGUGUCCAAGGACACGCGAUGGCCACCAAGACGGCCACCGAGACUUCAGCCUCGUCUCGGCCCUGCUGCGAAGAGGCUCUGAGACCAGGGAAAAGCGCAUGGCCCAUCUGGGUGCAGGUUUCUUCUAUAAAGUGAGAGAGGUACUUUUUUUUUAAGUCUGAGGUCAUUUCUAGAUGAGGGAAGUGCUGUGAAUCUAUGACUCUUAUUGCAAUAGGUGACCUGAAGUGCUAAGUGCUUUGCUGAGAAAUUAAACAAACAGCCCCCCAGAACUGGGCACAGGAAGGCGUUGUGAAGGGGAGCGAUGGGAGGGGCAGGGAUAUGAGAAAGUAUUUACCAGGCUGGAGCCUGGUGGGGCAGCAACACGCUCUUUAAACAAAUGCUCAAACUAAUGGCGACUUUCUCUUCCCAGAAAAUUCUCCUUCUUUUAUGAACUUCCACAUCUCCGAAAUAAUUAAACAUGACAAUUUUCAAAACAAAGGAAGCUAUGCGUAAGGAUGAAACAUUUAAAAAAUACAGCAUGCCUUGAAUUUUAUUUUAGUCCUCCGAAAAUCUAACAGAGUAACUUUUUAUCUGUUAGAAAAAAAAACAACUAAAGAACAUGCAUAUUACAUAACCUAUUUUCUAGAAACCUUGCCUAUACCAGUGUUUUCACUCUAAAGUGUUAUAUAAUUUAGAAGCAUUUAACACCAAAAUUCAGUUACAAAACCACAUCUGAAAUAAUUGACACAACCCCUCUGCUAUUUCGCUAGGUGGCAGCAUGGAAUAAGAAAAAAUGAUAUUAUAAGGUAACAAAUAAUGAUAUUAUAAGGUAACAAAUAAAACCAUUAAAAGCCACAAAUGUCAGCCUUGCAGAUUCUAAAACAUUAGGAAGAACUUUAGUGCUUUUUCAGCUUAACUUUAAAGGACAAUACAUCUAUUAGAGGCAUCCUUUUUCUCUGCACAUUCACACAUUCUGUUUUUCGUAAAAAUUCUUGAGACAAAAGUAUAAUGGCUAAAAGGGUUGGAUUCUUUAAGACAUCUUUUCCUCAUUAACAUUUAACUAAAGGAAAUGAAAACUCACUUCUAAGCAAAGAGAACUUUCAGCAGAUACCAACAGCCAGGUAUAAUGAAGCCUUCUCAAAAUCAGAUCUUGCGUUUUCUUUGUAAUUAAUGAUCUAGAAAAUGAAAUCGAAAUUUUAUCUCUAGGGAAACCCACCAAUGCAACUGAGAUAUUUAAGGCCACAGGUAGCAAACUGGCAUGCUGCAAAUUCAGGGCAGGAUCAAGUUUUACUUGGCCUGGAGAGAGAAAAGGAGAGAGGCGGGUAAGGGUGGGGAGGGGAGGAGAGGGGAGAGAAGAGAGAGAGAGAGACUGAUUUAAGAAUCGCCCAUUUUCACAUUUGAGCUGUUUCAUACAAAAACCCAGAUUCCCGGCUCCUCCGGAGCGCUCAGAUGUGCUGACACUGAGCCUGGAUUUUCAUUCGCAGAAGAGGCUGGAAUCAAGUGGUGACCACUCCUUUUAACCAAGCAAGAGCCUUCCAGUUUUUCUGGUUCGCUUAUACUCUUCAUUACUAUUUCCUAGCUUUUCCAUUGUUGUGUAACAAAUUAUUACAAAUUUAGGAGCUUAAAAUAACACCCAUAGGUUAGCUCACAGGUCUGUGGGUCAGAAGUCUAGACAAGGAAUGACUGCAUUUUCUUCUGCCCAGUGUCUUACAAAGCUAAAGUCAAUGUGGCAGCCAGGCCGGGGCUUGGAGUUCCUCUUCUGAGCCCUGUGGUUGUUGCAGAAUUCAGUUCUUCGUCGUUGUAGCUCUGAGCUCCCAGUUUUCCUUACUGGUUCUGAGCCAGGAUACUCUCAAUUCCUGUUGUCUGCUAUGUUUUAUGUGUCCUCCAUCUUCAAAGCCAGCAGCGGAGAACGUAUGUACCAAGUCCCACUCAUGCCUCAGAUCUCUCUGCAGGAGGAGCCCAGGGCCCUUCAAGAACUUGCCUGAUUAGGUCAGGCCCACCCAGUUGCGCUGUGCGACAUAACCUAAUCGUGGAGCGAUGUCCCAUCAUAGUCACAGUCCCGGGGAUUACACAGGCAGGCCAGUCCAACAUGAGGUGGAGAACUUAGAAUCCUGUCUAUUGCA
This is a long non-coding RNA of Pteropus alecto (black flying fox), 2744 nucleotides long. RefSeq lists it as uncharacterized. The record is from RefSeq and is a predicted model, not a curated record. NCBI's taxonomy places the organism in Eukaryota, Metazoa, Chordata, Mammalia, Chiroptera, Pteropodidae. The transcript has 4 exons.